GCCUCUUGAUUAAACCAUAAGAGGUCCAGCCUGCCCAGUGACAUUGUUCAACGGCCGCGGUAUCCUAACCGUGCGAAGGUAGCGUAAUCACUUGUCCCUUAAAUGGGGACUAGUAUGAAUGGCCCCACGAAAGCUAUACUGUCUCCUUUUUCCAAUCAGUUAAACUAAUCUUCCCGUGAAGAAGCGGGAAUAAAUACACAAGACGAGAAGACCCUAUGGAGCUUUAAACAAUUGAAACACUUGCAUGUCUUACUUUAUUAAACCUACAUUAAACCUCACAUUUUGUUUCUAGUUUUAGGUUGGGGUGACCGCGGAGAAUAAACUAACCUCCACGCCGAAAGAGACAUCUCUAAACAAAAAGCCACAUCUUUAUGUAUUAAUAUAUUAACCUUUAUUGACCCA
This 402-nucleotide ribosomal RNA is filed under the name Anomaloglossus kaiei (Kaie rock frog). RNAcentral describes it as "LSU rRNA". It matches the Rfam family "Bacterial large subunit ribosomal RNA", at positions 1816 to 2422 of the family's 2925-position model. The record is from RNAcentral. Lineage: Eukaryota; Metazoa; Chordata; Amphibia; Anura; Aromobatidae.